Non-coding RNA from Malassezia nana, 108 nucleotides. The record is from the annotation of a GenBank genome assembly. NCBI's taxonomy places the organism in Eukaryota, Fungi, Basidiomycota, Malasseziomycetes, Malasseziales, Malasseziaceae.
GGGCGUGUGGUCUAGUGGUAUGACGUCUGCUUCGCACCGAUCUGCGACUGAACAAGGGUCAAACCUUGGAUCAGCAGAAGGUCCCGGGUUCAAAUCCCGUCUCGUCCA